GCGAGCGUGGCGGAAUUGGUAGACGCAGUGGAUUUAGGUUCCACCGGGCAACCGUGGGGGUUCGAGUCCCUCCGCUCGCACCA
RNAcentral lists this transfer RNA (83 nucleotides) under Betaproteobacteria bacterium. RNAcentral's name for it is "tRNA-Leu". It matches the Rfam family "tRNA". From Rfam's summary of the family: Transfer RNA (tRNA) molecules are approximately 80 nucleotides in length. Their secondary structure includes four short double-helical elements and three loops (D, anti-codon, and T loops). Further hydrogen bonds mediate the characteristic L-shaped molecular structure. tRNAs have two regions of fundamental functional importance: the anti-codon, which is responsible for specific mRNA codon recognition, and the 3' end, to which the tRNAs corresponding amino acid is attached (by aminoacyl-tRNA synthetases). tRNAs cope with the degeneracy of the genetic code in two manners: having more than one tRNA (with a specific anti-codon) for a particular amino acid; and 'wobble' base-pairing, i.e. permitting non-standard base-pairing at the 3rd anti-codon position. The record is from RNAcentral. Lineage: Bacteria; Pseudomonadati; Pseudomonadota; Betaproteobacteria.